UACAGAGGUCUCAAGCGUUGUUCGGAAUCACUGGGCGUAAAGGGUGCGUAGGCCGCACGGUAAGUCAGAGGUGAAAUCCCGGAGCUCAACUCCGGAAUGGCCUCCGAAACUGCCUUGCUCGAGUAUGGGAGAGGGAAGUGGAAUUUCCGGUGUAGCGGUGAAAUGCGUAGAUAUCUGGAGGAACACCGGUGGCGAAGGCGGCAUCCUGGACCAACACUGACGCUGAGGAGCGAAAGCCAGGGGAGCAAACGGG
Molecule: ribosomal RNA, 253 nt
Filed under: uncultured bacterium
Lineage: Bacteria
Description: partial 16S ribosomal RNA
Rfam family: Bacterial small subunit ribosomal RNA
Source: RNAcentral